UACAGAGGUCUCAAGCGUUGUUCGGAUUCAUUGGGCGUAAAGGGUGCGUAGGCGGCGCGGUAAGUCGGGUGUGAAAUCUUGGAGCUUAACUCCGAAACUGCAUUCGAUACUGCCGUGCUUGAGGACUGGAGAGGAGACUGGAAUUUACGGUGUAGCGGUGAAAUGCGUAGAUAUCGGGAGGAACACCAGUGGCGAAGGCGACUUCCUGGCCUGUUCUUGACGCUGAGGCGCGAAAGCUAGGGGAGCAAACGGG
Molecule: ribosomal RNA, 253 nt
Filed under: uncultured bacterium
Lineage: Bacteria
Description: partial 16S ribosomal RNA
Rfam family: Bacterial small subunit ribosomal RNA
Source: RNAcentral